Molecule: ribosomal RNA, 116 nt
Filed under: Escherichia coli
Lineage: Bacteria; Pseudomonadati; Pseudomonadota; Gammaproteobacteria; Enterobacterales; Enterobacteriaceae
Source: RNAcentral
UGAGAGAACCUUAGCGCGGUGGUCCCACCUGACCCCAUGCCGAACUCAGAAGUGAAACGCCGUAGCGCCGAUGGUAGUGUGGGGUCUCCCCAUGCGAGAGUAGGGAACUGCCAGGC